AUGGCGAAGACCUACCCCGUUGUCAGCGCCGAGUACCAGGAGGCCGUCGAGAAGGCCAGGCAAAAGCUCCGCGCCCUCAUCGCCGAGAAGAACUGCUCCCCGCUCAUGCUCCGCCUCGCGUGGCACUCCGCUGGGACCUUCGACGUGUCGUCCAAGACAGGCGGCCCGUUCGGGACGAUGAAGAAGCCGGCGGAGCAGGCGCACGCCGCCAACGCGGGCCUGGACAUCGCCGUGCGGAUGCUCGAGCCCAUCAAGGAGGAGAUCCCCACCAUCUCCUACGCUGAUCUCUACCAGCUUGCGGGAGUUGUCGCGGUGGAGGUGUCCGGUGGGCCCGUGAUCCCCUUCCACCCAGGGAGGGAGGACAAGCCUCAGCCCCCACCUGAGGGUCGCCUCCCUGAUGCUACCAAGGGUUCUGACCACCUAAGGCAAGUCUUCGGCAAGCAGAUGGGCUUGAGUGAUCAGGAUAUUGUUGCCCUCUCUGGUGGCCACACCCUGGGAAGGUGCCACAAGGAGAGGUCUGGCUUUGAGGGACCCUGGACAAGGAACCCUUUGAAGUUUGACCACUCUUACUUCACGGAGCUUCUGAGUGGUGACAAAGAGGGGCUUCUUCAGCUUCCAAGUGACAAAACCCUGCUGACUGACCCUGUCUUUCGCCCUCUUGUGGAGAAAUAUGCUGCGGACGAGAAGGCUUUCUUUGAGGACUACAAGGAGGCACACCUCAGGCUCUCCGAACUGGGGUACGCUGAAGCAUAA
RNAcentral lists this ribosomal RNA (753 nucleotides) under Triticum aestivum (bread wheat). RNAcentral's name for it is "partial small subunit ribosomal RNA". The record is from RNAcentral. Lineage: Eukaryota; Viridiplantae; Streptophyta; Magnoliopsida; Poales; Poaceae.